This 468-nucleotide ribosomal RNA is filed under the name uncultured bacterium. RNAcentral describes it as "partial 16S ribosomal RNA". It matches the Rfam family "Bacterial small subunit ribosomal RNA", at positions 28 to 506 of the family's 1533-position model. The record is from RNAcentral.
GACGAACGCUGGCGGCGUGCUUAACACAUGCAAGUCGAACGAUGAAAGAGGAGCUUGCUCCUCUGGAUUAGUGGCGAACGGGUGAGUAACACGUGAGCAAUCUGCCCCUGACUCCGGAAUAACUACGGGAAACUGUAGCUAAUACCGGAUAUGCGCCGAACAGGCAUCUGUAUCGGUGGGAAAGAAUUUCGGUCAGGGAUGAGCUCGCGGCCUAUCAGCUUGUUGGUGAGGUAACGGCUCACCAAGGCGACGACGGGUAGCCGGCCUGAGAGGGUGACCGGGCAAAAUGGGACAGAGAGCAAGCCCCGAAUUCCGAAGGGGGGCAGAGGGGGGGAAUAUUAAACAGGGGGGGAAGGCUGGAGACGGAAACGCCGGAGGGGGGGGGACGGCCUUGGGGUUUGAAGCCACUUUUAAGGGGGAAGAAGAAAAGGGGACGGUACCAGGAGAAAAAGCGCGGGGUAACUACGU